Molecule: small RNA, 121 nt
Filed under: Pseudomonas aeruginosa PAK
Lineage: Bacteria; Pseudomonadati; Pseudomonadota; Gammaproteobacteria; Pseudomonadales; Pseudomonadaceae
Description: potential sRNA
Source: RNAcentral
CGUGGCCACCAUGCUGAUCUCGAUCCCCACCGGGGUGAAGCUGUUCAACUGGCUGUUCACCAUCUACAAGGGCCGCCUGCGCUUCAGCACGCCGAUCCUGUGGACCCUGGGCUUCAUGGUG